GACGAACGCUGGCGGCGUGCUUAACACAUGCAAGUCGAACGGAAAGGCCCUGCUUUUGUGGGGUGCUCGAGUGGCGAACGGGUGAGUAACACGUGAGUAACCUGCCCUUGACUUUGGGAUAACUUCAGGAAACUGGGGCUAAUACCGGAUAGGAGCUCCUGCUGCAUGGUGGGGGUUGGAAAGUUUCGGCGGUUGGGGAUGGACUCGCGGCUUAUCAGCUUGUUGGUGGGGUAGUGGCUUACCAAGGCUUUGACGGGUAGCCGGCCUGAGAGGGUGACCGGCCACAUUGGGACUGAGAUACGGCCCAGACUCCUACGGAAGGCAGCAGUGGGGAAUAUUGCACAAUGGGCGGAAGCCUGAUGCAGCAACGCCGCGUGCGGGAUGACGGCCUUCGGGUGGUAAACCGCUUUCGCCUGUGACGAAGCGUGAGUGACGGUAAUGGGUAAAGAAGCACCGGCUACUACGUG
This 467-nucleotide ribosomal RNA is filed under the name uncultured bacterium. RNAcentral describes it as "partial 16S ribosomal RNA". It matches the Rfam family "Bacterial small subunit ribosomal RNA", at positions 28 to 507 of the family's 1533-position model. The record is from RNAcentral.